This is a long non-coding RNA of Rosa rugosa (rugosa rose), 345 nucleotides long. RefSeq lists it as uncharacterized. NCBI's taxonomy places the organism in Eukaryota, Viridiplantae, Streptophyta, Magnoliopsida, Rosales, Rosaceae. The record is from RefSeq and is a predicted model, not a curated record. The transcript is spliced from 2 exons.
UCAACCAUAAACGUCAUUCCUACUUCCUCUUCUACUGCCUCUUUUGCCUUGUACCUUAAAGAUUGAACUUCAUUCACUCACCCAAAGGUCAAAAAUCUGCACUUUUGCAAUAGCUUCAGAGAGAUUGUUGUAACACCCAUUCAUUCUGUUUCAGCCUUUCUAUGAAUUUGGGUAUGAUUUUGUUGUAAAUUUGGUUUAGGUGGCUGGAAUUGCUGAUUAUAGAGUUGGUGUUAGCAUUUCAAUUUGGUUUUGCCGUUUGUAGCAGUUGAUUGGCUUUAUUACCUGUUGAAAUCUAAGGCUUGAGGUCUGUUCAUCCCAUACAAUAUACAAAUAAGGUAUGCUUGG